This 1425-nucleotide long non-coding RNA is filed under the name Triticum aestivum (bread wheat). RNAcentral's name for it is "long non-coding RNA (TAES_LNC013655)". Lineage: Eukaryota; Viridiplantae; Streptophyta; Magnoliopsida; Poales; Poaceae. The record is from RNAcentral.
AAUUAGCCACUUGAUUAUUUUAACAAAUCCCUCUUCUGCCUCUUAGUCAUGCUCAAAUCUGAGCUACCAUGUGUCUACUGAGCUUAAAAUUACCCACAACCCACAAUAGAAGGCAAGUAGGAUUUGACAGUGUAUGACAUGGUAAUCUAGCUUUAUAAAAUCCAAAUUGAUCAGGAUAUGCACAAAUAUGUUUACAUAUUUGCAUCCCUAGCGUCACUUAUAGGAUUGUAAUUAAUAGCAACCAUGGAGAGAGUCGGUUCAUUUUAUUAUGAGCAGGUCUCUUCUUCUACAUCCUGAAGAUCUGCUAAAAUAUGAAGUGAAUUUCCUGUUUUAUCUCACAUUUACCAAUUACACAUUGAAAUAUUGUGUUUGUUAAGAGAGUUUGAUUUGUACUUUGGAAGUUUUGGGAUUGGAGACAUCACCCUUCUUGUCCGCUGCCCAACUCCGUCGCGGCCCAGGCCUAGCAGGCGAUAGAGGCACCACGAGGACUCACUACAAAGAAGCCGUGGGAGGAGGACCCCGACUCGGAUGACGACUGCUGAAAGAUCACGCACUUCUUUGGCCCACAGACCGGCUCCGCUUACGGCUUAUCCAAGGUAUCUCCUUGUGCAGCUUCACUAUCGCUCGUGUGCCUCGUGCAAAUAAAUAAAGCUACCUAGCACCGGCUCUUAUUUCUCUAUGCCUACGUAGUGUUUGUGCCGAUUCUUAUUUAUAUGUGCCUACAUGGAAUACAAUUCUUAUUUGUCUGAACCAGUGAGCAUUUCAUUCAGUUUGUUUCUGUCCAUGAGUAACAAUUUUUUGGAAGCAUAUGUACAUAUUUAGCAAUCCAGCUAUGCUUUGUGCACUUUCUGCUGAGCUAGGCAAUGUUCACUGCAGCUAGCAAGAACCUGUUAACGGCUGUGAUAGAUCAAAAGUGAAAGGAGUGGUUGCACGCUUAUUAUUAAGAUAAAGGACAACUCCACAGCAAUGGUGAUGGAGAUCUAUUUAGCAACCUCCUCAUUUUGGUUCUGAAGUUAUUUACCCUUUUCAGUGAAGGAACUGGUUUUGCGGCAUCAGUUAUGUGUGUUGUGUAUGUAGGUUGGAGCUUCACCGGCGCCAUGGUUGUGCUCGGAGGAGGAUCGCCGAUGCCCGCCGCCGCUGUCUUCCACAUGCUCCUCCUCACGACCACGGGUGGACGUUGGCUGAGGUCUAGCCUCCCAUCCACACGCAGGUACUCCCCCACUCCCCUCUGUGCCCUCUCUCUGUUAAACUAAGGAAGGGGGCCUAUAUGUUUCAUCUUGUCAAUCUAAUUUGUCUGUGCAUAUUAGUAUAUAGUCACAUUCAGAAAAGCUUGACUGCACAGUAAGAGAGUUUGUAUCUUUUUGUUUUUCAGAUUAUGCAAGUAUCUGCUUGGUCUGCAUAUUAGUACCGACUAGCAAGCACAGG